This 61-nucleotide transfer RNA is filed under the name Heterocephalus glaber (naked mole-rat). It matches the Rfam family "tRNA", at positions 6 to 65 of the family's 71-position model. From Rfam's summary of the family: Transfer RNA (tRNA) molecules are approximately 80 nucleotides in length. Their secondary structure includes four short double-helical elements and three loops (D, anti-codon, and T loops). The record is from Rfam by way of RNAcentral. Lineage: Eukaryota; Metazoa; Chordata; Mammalia; Rodentia; Bathyergidae.
UGAAGCUCAAUGGUAGAGUUCUUGCCUACUAUGCAUGAGGCCCUGGGUUUGAUACCCAGCA